This 2425-nucleotide ribosomal RNA is filed under the name Proteus mirabilis. It matches the Rfam family "Bacterial large subunit ribosomal RNA", at positions 520 to 2925 of the family's 2925-position model. RNAcentral also lists the same sequence under 1 other name. Lineage: Bacteria; Pseudomonadati; Pseudomonadota; Gammaproteobacteria; Enterobacterales; Morganellaceae. The record is from RNAcentral.
AGUACACGAGCAACGGAAGUUAAAAAAUCGGGCAAGAUUGAACGCAAAGGCAAGCGGGACAUUUGAGGAUGGGGUGACUGCGUACCUUUUGUAUAAUGGGUCAGCGACUUAUAUUCUGUAGCAAGGUUAACCGUAUAGGGGAGCCGUAGGGAAACCGAGUCUUAACUGGGCGAAUGAGUUGCAGGGUAUAGACCCGAAACCCGGUGAUCUAUCCAUGGGCAGGUUGAAGGUUGGGUAACACUAACUGGAGGACCGAACCGACUAAUGUUGAAAAAUUAGCGGAUGACUUGUGGAUGGGGGUGAAAGGCCAAUCAAACCGGGAGAUAGCUGGUUCUCCCCGAAAGCUAUUUAGGUAGCGCCUCGUGAAUUCAUCUUCGGGGGUAGAGCACUGUUUCGACUAGGGGGUCAUCCCGACUUACCAACUCGAUGCAAACUGCGAAUACCGAAGAAUGUUAUCACGGGAGACACACGGCGGGUGCUAACGUCCGUCGUGAAGAGGGAAACAACCCAGACCGCCAGCUAAGGUCCCAAAGUCAUGGUUAAGUGGGAAACGAAGUGGGAAGGCUCAGACAGCCAGGAUGUUGGCUUAGAAGCAGCCAUCAUUUAAAGAAAGCGUAAUAGCUCACUGGUCGAGUCGGCCCGCGCGGAAGAUGUAACGGGGCUAAACCAUGCACCGAAGCUGCGGCAGCGACACAAAGUGUUGUUGGGUAGGGGAGCGUUCUGUAAGCCUGCGAAGGUAUACUGUGAGGUAUGCUGGAGGUAUCAGAAGUGCGAAUGCUGACAUAAGUAACGAUAAUGCGGGUGAAAAACCCGCACGCCGGAAGACCAAGGGUUCCUGUCCAACGUUAAUCGGGGCAGGGUGAGUCGACCCCUAAGGCGAGGCUGAAAAGCGUAGUCGAUGGGAAACGGGUUAAUAUUCCCGUACUGGUGGUAACUGCGAUGGGGGAACGGAGAAGGCUAGGUUGUCCGGGCGACGGUCGUCCCGGUUCAAGCAGGUAGGCAGAGUGAUUAGGCAAAUCCGGUCACUUAAUGCUGAGAUGUGAUGACGAACCACCAAGGUGGUGAAGCAAUUGAUGCCCCGCUUCCAGGAAAAGCCUCUAAGCUUCAGGUUACCAACAAUCGUACCCCAAACCGACACAGGUGGUCAGGUAGAGAAUACUCAGGCGCUUGAGAGAACUCGGGUGAAGGAACUAGGCAAAAUGGUGCCGUAACUUCGGGAGAAGGCACGCUGGCGGUAGGUAAAGUCCCUUGCGGACGGCGCUGAAGCCAGUCGAAGAUACCAGCUGGCUGCAACUGUUUAUUAAAAACACAGCACUGUGCAAACACGAAAGUGGACGUAUACGGUGUGACGCCUGCCCGGUGCUGGAAGGUUAAUUGAUGGGGUCAGCCGUAAGGCGAAGCUCCUGAUCGAAGCCCCAGUAAACGGCGGCCGUAACUAUAACGGUCCUAAGGUAGCGAAAUUCCUUGUCGGGUAAGUUCCGACCUGCACGAAUGGCGUAAUGAUGGCCAGGCUGUCUCCACCCGAGACUCAGUGAAAUUGAACUCGCUGUGAAGAUGCAGUGUACCCGCGGCAAGACGGAAAGACCCCGUGAACCUUUACUAUAGCUUGACACUGAACAUUGAGCCUUGAUGUGUAGGAUAGGUGGGAGGCUUUGAAGUGUGGACGCCAGUCUGCAUGGAGCCAACCUUGAAAUACCACCCUUUAACGUUUGAUGUUCUAACCUAGGCCCAUAAACUGGGUCGGGGACCGUGUCUGGUGGGUAGUUUGACUGGGGCGGUCUCCUCCUAAAGAGUAACGGAGGAGCACGAAGGUUGGCUAAGCAUGGUCGGACAUCAUGCGGUUAGUGCAAAGGCAUAAGCCAGCUUGACUGCGAGAGUGACGGCUCGAGCAGGUACGAAAGUAGGUCUUAGUGAUCCGGUGGUUCUGAAUGGAAGGGCCAUCGCUCAACGGAUAAAAGGUACUCCGGGGAUAACAGGCUGAUACCGCCCAAGAGUUCAUAUCGACGGCGGUGUUUGGCACCUCGAUGUCGGCUCAUCACAUCCUGGGGCUGAAGUAGGUCCCAAGGGUAUGGCUGUUCGCCAUUUAAAGUGGUACGCGAGCUGGGUUUAGAACGUCGUGAGACAGUUCGGUCCCUAUCUGCCGUGGGCGUUGGAAGAUUGAGAGGGGUUGCUCCUAGUACGAGAGGACCGGAGUGAACGCACCACUGGUGUUCGGGUUGUCAUGCCAAUGGCAUUGCCCGGUAGCUAAGUGCGGAAGAGAUAACCGCUGAAAGCAUCUAAGCGGGAAACUUGCCUCGAGAUGAGUCUUCCCUGUCACUUUAAGUGACCUAAAGGAACGUUUAAGACUAAGACGUUGAUAGGCUGGGUGUGUAAGCGUAGCGAUACGUUGAGCUAACCAGUACUAAUGAACCGUGAGGCUUAACCU